CGUGUAGGCGGUUUUGUUAAGUCUGAUGUGAAAGCCCCGGGCUCAACCUGGGAAGUGCAUUGGAUACUGGCAGACUUGAAUACGGGAGAGGGUAGUGGAAUUCCUGGUGUAGGAGUGAAAUCCGUAGAUAUCAGGAGGAACACCGGUGGCGAAGGCGGCUACCUGGACCGAUAUUGACGCUGAGACGCGAAAGCGUGGGGAGCAAACAGGAUUAGAUACCCUGGUAGUCCACGCCGUAAACGAUGAGUACUAGGUGUUGCGGGUAUUCGACCCCUGCAGUGCCGCAGCUAACGCAUUAAGUACUCCGCCUGGGAAGUACGGUCGCAAGACUAAA
This 334-nucleotide ribosomal RNA is filed under the name uncultured bacterium. RNAcentral describes it as "bacterial SSU rRNA". It matches the Rfam family "Bacterial small subunit ribosomal RNA", at positions 568 to 898 of the family's 1533-position model. The record is from RNAcentral.